Molecule: ribosomal RNA, 511 nt
Filed under: uncultured Ambispora
Lineage: Eukaryota; Fungi; Glomeromycota; Glomeromycetes; Archaeosporales; Ambisporaceae
Description: SSU rRNA
Rfam family: Eukaryotic small subunit ribosomal RNA
Source: RNAcentral
AGCAGCCGCGGUAAUUCCAGCUCCAAUAGCGUAUAUUAAAGUUGUUGCAGUUAAAAAGCUCGUAGUUGAAUUUUGGGUCUGGCCGGGCGGUCCGCCCUCUGGGUGAGCACUGUUCCGACGCCGGGCCUAUCCUUCUGGUGAGUCGGCAUGUCCUUUGUUGGGUGUGUCGGGGAACCAGGACCAUUACCUUGAAAAAAUUAGAGUGUUCAAAGCAGGCGUAUGCUCGGAUACAUUAGCAUGGAAUAAUGAAAUAGGACGCGUGGUGCUAUUUUGUUGGUUUCUAGAACCGCCGUAAUGAUUAAUAGGGAUAGUUGGGGGCAUUAGUAUUCAAUUGUCAGAGGUGAAAUUCUUGGAUUUAUUGAAGACUAACUUCUGCGAAAGCAUUUGCCAAGGAUGUUCUCAUUAAUCAAGAACGAAAGUUAGGGGAUCGAAGACGAUCAGAUACCGUCGUAGUCUUAACCAUAGACUAUGCCGACUAGGAAUCGGGCGAUGUUAUUCUCAUGACUCGCCC